RNAcentral lists this small RNA (367 nucleotides) under Histoplasma ohiense. RNAcentral's name for it is "hypothetical lncRNA". The record is from RNAcentral. Lineage: Eukaryota; Fungi; Ascomycota; Eurotiomycetes; Onygenales; Ajellomycetaceae.
AUCACGCCCAAGAUCUUUGAUGUGAGUUUCAAAAAAUAUCUAGUCAAGGAUUUCUUCCUCACACGAUUUCAAACUGGAUCGAAAAUCUCACGUUCGUCGCCCUUGUGAUGGCUAUGGCCAAGGGAGCGCAGGUGGCAUCUGAACACUUGCGUAAGAAAGAGAAAAAUAGCACUGAAAUUUGUAGAGAUGUUUAUUAAAAUUGAUUUUGUGGGACGUCUAAGUGGUUGUAUGUUUGGUCACUGGAGCAAAAGAGCUUCAAUCACCACCAGUUCCAUGAUCGCAUAGAGGUAUUGCAUGAACAAUUAUAAGAGUCCCUCUUGAGAACUCCAUUCAGAAUGAUAUUGUGAAGUCUCUCAUCACUCGGGGG